This 490-nucleotide ribosomal RNA is filed under the name uncultured bacterium. Its description in RNAcentral is "partial 16S ribosomal RNA". It matches the Rfam family "Bacterial small subunit ribosomal RNA", at positions 29 to 507 of the family's 1533-position model. The record is from RNAcentral.
AUUGAACGCUGGCGGCAGGCCUAACACAUGCAAGUCGAACGGUAACAGGAAGCAGCUUGCUGCUUCGCUGACGCGUGGCGGGCGGGUGAGUAAUGUCUGGCAAACUGCCUGAUGGAGGGGGAUAACUACUGGAAACGGUAGCUAAUACCGCAUAACGUCGCAAGACCAAAGAGGGGGACCUUAUGGCCUCUUGCCAUCGGAUGUGCCCAGAUGGGAUUAGCGCGUAGGUGGGGUAACGGCCCACCUCGGCGACGAUCCCUAGCUGGUCUGAGAGGGUGAACAGGCACACUGGGAAUGAGACACGGGCCAGACUCCCACGGGGGGCAGGAGUGGGGAAUAUUGGACAAUGGGCGCAAACCUGAGCCAGACAUACCGCGUGGGUGAAGAAAGCCUUCGGGGUUUAAAACCCUUUUGUGGGGGGGGAAAAGGAGCAAAUUAAAACCCCGCUGUUCUGACGGUACCCAAAGAAAAAGCACCGGCUAAAUUCGUG